This 966-nucleotide ribosomal RNA is filed under the name Triticum aestivum (bread wheat). RNAcentral's name for it is "partial small subunit ribosomal RNA". Lineage: Eukaryota; Viridiplantae; Streptophyta; Magnoliopsida; Poales; Poaceae. The record is from RNAcentral.
AUGAGAGCGACGAAUCGGGACAGGACCCUAGCUGCCACUCCCCCUCAAGCUCACGCCCCUCUCCUUCGUCCCCUCCCCAUCGUGGUCCUGUCCUCCUUGCCUCGCCGUUCUUCUCCUGCCGCCCAGCUGGCCGCCGCCGCCUCGUCCUUUCCUCCUCCCCUAUGCUCGGAAGGAGCGCGGGCCGCCACCCCAUCAUACGAUACGGUGUGGGAGUGCAACCCCGACGCCUCCUCCGCCCAGCUGUGUGACUCGCGACGGCAAGAUCCAGCCGCGGCGGCCGAGAUUCAUGUGCGCCCGCAGAGCGUGUGGCUGGAUAGGGAGACCAGCACCAAGUGCUACAUGCUGUCCGCCAGGAACUUGUUCAUCGUGUGGGGCGACACGCCGCAGUACUGGACCUGGAUCCCACUCUAAGACUCUAGGUUCUCCGAAGGUGCUCAACUCAGGGAUGUUUGCUGGUUAGAGAUCCGCGGGAAGAUAAAUAGCAAGAUCCUCUCCCAAGACACAACCUAUGCUGCCUACAUGGUCUUCAAGUCGACCAAAAGAAACUAUGGUCUGGAUUUUCCCGACUAGGAGGCAUCGGUCAGUUCCGGAGCAACCAACUUAACCCGCAAGGUUUGCAUACAAGACGAGGGGGAGGACGGGGAUGAGGACAACGAGGAGGAUGUGGUGCUGGAGAACUAUUGGGCGAGGUGGAACAACCGCGUAGUAUCUCACAGAGAGAAUGUCACGUUGCCUCAGAAAAGAGCCGACGGCUGGAUGGAGCUAGAGUUGGGCGAGUUUUUCAAUGAGGGGGGCGAUGACGGCGAGGUGUCCUUCAGCCUGACGGAGACCAAAGGUGGGCAGUGGAAGAGGGGCCUCAUCGUGCAGGGCAUAGAGAUCAGACGUAAGAAAGGUGGGCAGUGGAAGCUAACAGAUGUCCCAUUUCCCUAUUUCCAGCACGUAGAUUAUUCUGUGUCUUCUCUCUGA